CCCCUUUGAAUGUAAACACAAAGUAUUUUUGAACAAAGAAGUAGACAACAAGACAGAAUUUUGUCCCGAUCAUUAUUCGAAGGAAAAAUAGAAGAAAGAAGAGCAAUCGAGUAUUGACUUAGGACACCCUACCUACCCAAGUUAUGAGGGAAUCAAGUGACAGGAUUCUCAAAGGAUUGAAAGGAGAUGGACUUUACCGAGUUGAAGAGUCGAGUGAGGUCCCGAUGAGGUUCCAGUCCGCGCAUCUGUUAUUACAUCAUAAAUAAAAGUUACAAGUUAAAACAUAAAUAAAAUUACAAAAUCAUAUCUAUGCAGUUAGUUUCUUUUGGACUCUUAACUUGAGUUUCAUCACUCUAUUCUUCAGGCGGGCUCCUGACUUGCAAUUUCAUCACUUGUUGCUUGGUUUUCAAUCUCUUCACCCUGUUCUUCAGGCGGGUUCCUAACUUGCUAUUUUUUCAAUCUGUUGACUUUAAAUUUCUUCACCUUGUUGCUUGACUUUCAACUUCUUCACCUUGUUACUUGACUUUCAACUUUUUCACCAUGUUGCUUGACUUUUCAUUUAUUCACCCUGCUCUUCAGGCGGGCUCCUGAAAUCACAUCAAUACUAAAAAGAAAAAUUAUCCCAAACAAAGAUUAUUAUAAAGAGAUUUCAUUUGUCAGGAAAGCGAAGUUCCAAACACAGGAUUUAAAUUUUCCCCAGUUUCUCAUCAAAGGACUUUUGGGAAAGUCACAUCAUUAUAGGAAUCAAAGGGAAUGACUAGACUAAAAGGAACAUCUUAUAAGAAUCAAAGGGAAUGACUCAACUAAAAGGUACGUCUUCUAGGAAUCAAGGGAUAUGACUCGACUAAAAGGUACUUCUUAUAGGAAUCAAGGGGCAAGGGGAAUGACUUGACUAAGUCUAAUGACUCGACUAGGGAAUGACUAGACUAAAAGGAACAUCUUAUAAGAAUCAAAGGGAAUGACUCAACUAAAAUGUACGUCUUAUAGGAAUCAAGGGGAAUGACUUGACUAAAAGGUACGUCUUUUAGGAAUCAAAUGACUCGACUAAAGGCACAUCAUCUAGGAAUCAAGGGGAAUGACUAGACUAAAAGGUACGUCUUCUAGGAAUCAAAGGUAAUGACUCGACUAAAAGGUACGUCAUCUAGGAAUCAAGGGGAAUGACUCGACUAAAAGGUACGUUUUCUAGGGGUCAAGGGGAACGAUUCAACUAAAAGGUACGUCUUCUAGGGGUCAAAGGGAAUGACUCGACUAAAAGGUACAUUUUAUAGGAAUCAAGGGGAAUGACUCGACUAAAAGGUACGUCUUCUAGGGGUCAAGAGGAAUGACUCGACUAAAAGGUACGUCUUCUAGGAAUCAAAUUAAAUAACUCGACUAAAAGGUACGCCUUAUAGGAAUCAAGGAGAAUGACUCGACUAAAAGGUACGUCUUCUAGGGGUCAAGGGAAAAGACUCGACUAAAAGAUAUGUCUUAUAGGAAUUAAAGAAGAUGACUCGAAUAAAAGGUACGUCUCAUAGGAGUGAAGGUUCAAUUUAAGAAGUGUAUCACCUAGCAAAUGAAAACUAAAAUCCCUGGACAAGAAAGUGUCUCCGAGGGAUAUAGGAUGAUGAUUUUUUACAAUGACUUGAUUAUUAAACCUGUCCAACAACAUUGUUUCCUGCAUUUGUAGGAGUGAGGCAUUGCAGACCUUGAUAUUUAUGUUCCGAAUUCCUUGAUUUAAAGGUAAUAUGUUUCCUAUUUCAUCAAAAAAAACUUGUGAGUUAAAAAAUAUGGUGGCUGGCUUGUGGCUUUAGCUUUUGCGACAAUCGCUCUUGCCCCAGUCACAUUUAACCUUGCUUCCAACCAUUAGCAUAUGUCAUUGACUUGUUGAAUCAGUGAUCCAAACUCAUAUUAGGAAGAGUGACUCUGCCACAAACACAGUAUCUCUGCUUUGCCAUGUUUCUCAGUUAAACCCUUUGAACUAUGGUAUUUCCGUGGGUUCCCAGACUUGUCUAUUGACAAAACUUUCUAUAUGUCCUUUUUUCAGCUCACAAUUAUAUCUCUUUCAUGCGCUGGCCUUUUUGUCUUGCUUUGUACAAUUGAAGAAGUUGGUAGCCAAUUUUAAAAUCUUUUCUCACUUGUUUCGACAUGGACUAGACUCAAAGACAAGAGCGAAAAUGACCAUGAUUUUUUAUUUGGAUAACUGACUCAAGAAAAAUAAAAUAAAAAUAAAACAAAGAGAAGAAAGAAAAGACAAUGAAUGUACCCAUUAAAAAAAAUAAUGAAAAAUGUAUCUAAAAAUGACAGUUAACUCUAUUGAUUAUGCCAUGCAUUUUGGAUUAAGUUGCCUGAUCUUUCAUCUAAACCUUCUACUAAUUGUUGUUGAGUUAAUGACCUUGAAACUGAAUUGCUUCCUUGGGCCAAUUUGCAUUCAAAAAUCUCAUUUGGCUAGUGGCACCUUGAAGGGUUUUCGCCAACAAGCCUCUCUCAUCUUCUUUUCCUCAACUCACCAUAGUCUUAUGGUGUCUGUAAGAGUUUUCACCAACGAGACUCUCUUAUCUUCGUUUCUCUCAACUCAUAGUCGUCUUACGAUGCCCAUGAGAGUUUUCACCGAUAAGAAUCUCUCAUUUUUAUUGCUCUCUUGAUUUCUUAUGCCGAGGAAGACAAGUGGUUCCCAAAUGCAUCAUCAUAUCCCUUGCAUGCUUAGCCUUAACAUCCUCAAAGAUUGAUCCGAAGGUCUUUCUUUGGUUGUAACUUGGCUUUUGGAUAGGGUUAGAAAGAAGGGAUGGCAUGGGGCCCAAACGGCACUUAAAGUGGGGUAGGACUUACAAUUUUUAGAAACGACUCAAAUAAUGAGGAUUAACUUAUGCCCCAGUUUUUUACUAGGCAAUUCUAAAUUAUUUAUUUGGUUGGACCAAGCCCUAAGUAGGGCAUCCUACGUAUCUCACCCCCGAGAGAAAAGAAUCGGGUCAUGCGUAGUUCUGGCAACUUGUUUUGCUUGAUUCUGAUUUCAUUUUUCUUUUGACUUCUUUUUUUUUCUUUGUAAUUUUUCUGACUCUAAUUUACUUACUUUUUUUCUUCCUUCUUGGACACAUUUUCCUCUUUUUUUGAAAAAACUUUCUGACUCUACUCUCUUGCUCUAUACUUUUCUUUUGAACUUUAUUGGUUUUAUCUUGAUUCCAAAAAAGGGGUAUGAAAGAAAAUAACACUAAGGCUUAAAUGGGGUAGACAAAGGAUGACACAAUGUUUGAAUAACAGAAUAAAAUGUCUUUGUCAUAUCAAUCCUUGAAAAUGCACGUACAUAUCAUGCAAUAUAAAAGUGAAAGAUGAAGAUCAUUUGACACCUUAAAACCACUAUCUUUAAUUGAACAUGUGUGCUACUUCUUCCUCUACACUUGUCAAACAUAUAACUCCACCUUUGUUGUAUAUCCCUUACAUUGAAUGACUCAUACUUUCGUCGAGUUGAUUUUCUUUAUAUUCCUCUUGAUAGGAUCACGCAGACACUGUUUGACCUAAUCGAGACAUGUCUUUUAAUUGAUGACCAAGUUAUUCUUGUGAUUCUCAAAAUAAUUGCCUUAAUUUUUAGAAAAGGCUUCAACUUGUCACCAAAUAUCUCAGUACUCUACUAUUUUCUUAGAUGUUUCUCCUAACUUUAGCCCUCUGAUUCAAUGUUCAUGCUUAAACUGCAUUUUAAGAUCUGACUGAAAAUUCCGCAGGCAUGUCAUAUUACUAGAAUCAACAUAAAAUAUGUUGUAUAAAGAAAACAAACAAACAACACAUUUGAAACAUAAAAGGAAAGGGACACUUCAUUUAGUUGAAAUAAAAGAUAAAAGGGUUUGAACAUAAACGACGAAGGGACAAACAAGAUAGAUCUCGAACUACAACCCUGAAAUACUUCAAAAAAUAGAAAAGAAAACAAAACAAACUACCAGACCUCUUCCUAGUGGGGAGAUGGGUGACUUCUCAUUUGCUCAGCCUGACAACUUAGCCACUGGUUUGCAUAUCAACAUGACCAGAGCUUCCCUCACUGUCAAUGUUCUGCACCAUAAUCGAUCCAUCUUGAAUCAUCUUUUCAAUUUCCCUUUUCAAAUCUCAACAAUCUUUAAUACUAUGACCCUGAGCAUCAGAAUUAUACGCACAUCAUACAUUAGGGUCAAAAUUUCUUGAACAUCGAUUAAGAGUGCACUUAAGGAGAGGAGUGAUCAUGCUCCAUUGUACCAAUUUCUGAAACAAACUAGCAUACGACUCUCUAAUUGGUGUGAAGUUAUCUCUCGACUUCUGCCUCAUUUCAUCAUUUGGCUUGGAUAAAAAAUCAGGCUUAGAAGGGUUUUGGUAUAUUUGUGAAGUUAGAGGAUGACUCUGAAUUGUUGGUGUUUUCCACUGUGGGUAAGAUGGGGGUUGAUUAUGUGGUUGUGCAUUAUAUACUGAAUAUGGAGGUGGAGGAGCAGAGUAUAAUGGAUUUUAGGAGUGAUUAUGUGGAGCUUGGGCAUGACCUUGGGUUUGAGCCUGAGAGUGGCGACAACGGGGUCUUCUUGACCGUGCCCGCUGUCCAACUACAAUAGAGGAUGCAACUUCCUCAUUCUUUGUCUCCACAAUACUUCCUGAACCCUUUUGAAUUGCUUGAGUUGUCACUUUCAAUGUUGCAAAACUCACAAUGUGACCAGUCUUAAUUCCCUCUUCUAUCAUCUCCCCCAUUUUAAGGACCUCAAUAAAUGACUUGCCUAAUGCAGGUAACAAGUUUUGAUAAUAUAUUUCAUCCUGUGCUUGAAUAAACACCUUUGCUAUUUUGCUUUCUUUCAUUGGCGAUUUUACUCUAACAGCUUGUUCGCGCCAUCUGAUCGCAUACUUUCUGAAACUCUCAGUAUUCUUCUUUUUUAUACUAGUUAGGGAUUUUUCGUCAGAGAUCAACUCCACAUUGUAUUGAAAUUGUUGCACAAAUUCAUUAGCUAGGUUAUCCCAACUAAUCUACUUGUCAAUGUCUUGGUCAACAAACCAUUUCGAAGCUAGGUCUAAAAGACUCCCCCAGAAAUAAUCCUUGAGUAGUUCUUCCUUCCCUCUAGCGCCCCUCAAUUGGUUACAAUAGCGACUCAAAUGUGCCACUGGGUCCCCAUGUCCAUCAUAGUUCUCAAACUUUGGCAUUUUAAAGUCAGGUGGAAAGUUGACACCUGGAAACAUGCAUAAGUCCUUAUAUGAGACACUUUUGUAACCCUCAAGUCCUUGCAAGUUCUUCAUAGCCAGUUCCAAACUUCUCAAUUUUUUGGUCAUUUCCUCUUGUCCUUCUUUCAUAACAAGCUUCUCAGUGUUAGGAGGAAAUUCAAGUGGGUGAGUGUCACUGUAAAGACCAGUCAACUUGAAUGUAGGCUCGAAAGUGUACCGCUGAUCACCAGUAAUAUUCAAUCCAGGCUUUCUUGUAGAGUAGGGAGGCACAACUUGUGGACGAACAUCAAAAGUAGGAGCUUCAGGUGGGGGUGGCACCGCAAAAGCAUGAACAACAGGUGAAGCCGAGUAUGUGGUAGUCUUGGAUUGGGGAGUGAGGAAAUAAACAUUAGAAGUGGUUGGGUAUUGUUGCCCCAAAGUCGAUCCUGAUGCAUGUUGUGGCAUAUCAACAAAAAUGGGAAAUUGUGCAUAUGACACGAGAGGCAAGAUGGAAAGAUAUUCCAGAUUAUCAGUGGGAACUGGAGGAGGAGGUAACCCAUUAGCCCAAGCUCGAUGCAUUCCUAUCAUUUGCUGCCUCAAUUUCCGAAUCACUUCAUUAGCUCCUACAUUCUCACUUCUCAAACUCCCUAUCUGAUAGUGACAACAAACUCGGUAUCCUUGUUAGCCAUAACCUUCUCUAUGACUUGGUGCAAUAUGGAGGACCAGCUAAAAUGCCACAACCCAACCACCUCAAACUAACUGAACAAGAGAUAACAAAUGCGUUAGAGUCUAACACUUUCUCAAAAUCUCCCCUUUUUUUCUUUUUGAAAAGGUCACCGAACCCAAGAAGGCUACCUACGUAUAUCACCCCCUGAGAGAGGAGAAUCAGGUGUGCGUAGUUCAUGAAAUCUUGCCAAAAUGGUCAAAUAAACUCUUUUUCUUUUUCUUGAAACUUUAAAAAUAAAAGGAAAUAACAAAUUGUCAAAAGAAUUGACGAAAAUCUUUUUUGCAUUUUUCGGCUUUAAUAACCUAUACAAAAUGAAACCUAUGAUUACCAAAGAAAAGUCAUUUUGGAUUUUCGAUUUUGAAUUUCAUAUGAAAAUAAAACUUGAAACUAUUAAAGGAAAAUGUUUUUGUAGUUUUCUUUUUAGAGAUGUAUAUAAAACACUUACUUUAAAUAAAGAGUGAAGAAAAUCUUUUAGAAUUUUUCAAAUAAGAUCCCCGAACCAAAAAUAGGUUGCCUACAUAUCUCACAUCCCGAAAGAGGAGAAUCAGGGGUGCGUAGUUCAUCCAGAUUGGAAAAUUAAUGAUUAAAUAAUCGACUAAACCCGGACUUGAGAUACCAGACCACAAACAGAAGAUGAAAAACAUCAAUAAAAUCUUUUUAAGUUUUCAAUUUGACACUUAACCUAAAAAUGACACCAAUAAAUAUGCAAGGAAAAUCUUUUUUGAUAUUUUCGUUAUACGAAAUGUAUAAAACUUCUACCAGUUUUUAAAUUUUUCUUUUAUAAAAGGCUCCUAUUGAAAAAUAAUCUUUUUGAAAUUUUUGAAUUAUGAAUGCAUGCUAAAGGAGACAAAGCAAAAAACUUUCUGAUGUUUUUGAUUUUUGAGAAAUGAGUGCAAAAGGAAAAAAAAUCUUUCUGAAUUUUGAAUUUUGAAAAACAAAAGCCAUAAAGAACUCUGAAAACUAGAAACUCUCUUUUUUUUUCUUUUUGACUCACUAUUCUUUUUUUUUUUUUUUUUUUUACUUCUAACACAUGUUUUCCCCAAAUUAGUCCAUCAAAUGACCAUAUUACCCUCAAAGAUGCAACAAUUAACACGUAGGGAUGCUUUAGAGGCAAGUCUCCUACAAAAGGCCAAGUGGGCCCCUCUAGGUCUUCAAUAUGAUGCAUAUAAACAUGACCUACAAGGUGACCUACGUUGGGGUUCACUAACAAGGCUGUUCGGAGGAGCGUAUAGUCGAUAGUGGCUGCUUUGCUUUCCACCUACUCCAUAACAUCGAUGGCUCCUCCCCUAAAAUAAGGGUGACUCAACUAGAGGUCGUGUACAACACGUGUACUAUGGACUUGUUGCAGAAAGAAUGACUCGGGCUAUGCACAUGAUGCUAGAUAUAAAGCAGCAACACAUAAGAUAAAAUUAUAAACAAAGAGCAUGUAGGCACUCAAAAAAAUAACAAAAAGCAACGCAAAUAUAUGUCUAUACACGUAUAGUGACAAACUAAGCCGAUACAACUCCAAAUUAAGCUUGAAUUCUGAAAAUAGAUCUCCAACGGAGUCGCCAGAGCUGUCACACCCCUUUUUAACUCCAAAAAGAUAUUAUUUUAAAAGUUUGAAAGGGUUUUCGUUAUAAGUGACAAAAGAUAAAAAUUUGCUUCGAAAAGGACCUUUUAUAUUCAAAACUCAGAGUCGCCACUUGGCAUAAUCCGGUGUGCCAAGUCACCUUUGAAAAAUCCUUUUCAAAACGAUUUGACUCAAACUGGUUUGCGAACAGAGAUUUCAGCUAAGGAAUUCUGUUGACCGACGGAAAGGUGUUAGGCACCCCUCGAUCCUGUGGUUUGAACACGGUCGCUUGUUGGAGCGUAUCGGCUAAUUUGACACCACGAAUGUAUAAACCACACAAAAGCACGCAAAACAAUCAAUCAAGCAAAAAAAAUAAAAACAAUCCAAAAUUUGGUGUCCAGUCCAAUUUAUUACAAAUUGAAAUAGAAAAUACUGAAUAAACCUACACUAACCUAUACUAGUCCUAAAUUAAACUCUACCCGAUGCCUUGGGCCUUCAUCACAGACAUCCUCCGUGUACAAAAUACCUCAGGGCAUUCCCCAACGAAUAAACACAAAUACCUCGGGGCAUUCCCCAGCCAAAUGAAUACAUUUUCAAUGCAAGAAGACCACAAUCAUUCAAUAAUAUUUCAAACAUUCCACAAUUUAUAAUCCCUAAAUUUGCCUAUCACCCCUAUUGUUUGCCUAUCGAUUUGACGACCUAAUCUUGAUACUAUUAAGUUCGAUGACAUCAAUGAAUUAAAAUUAGUCCGUAUUCAUUUUUUUACUUUUCAAAUCCCGUCUCACUUUCAUUCUUGAUCAAUUAACCAAUUCCAAUACAGAAUCAACCAAUCAAAACUACGAUAAUCAUAGACGUUCAAACAUACUAUCAAAAAUUAUAUCAUCAAUCAACAUGAACCACGCAACUCACAACAUCACCUCACCAAAUUAAGUAAAACAAAGAGGAGGAGUUGAAGAAUUGGACCUUAGAAGAAGCUUUCAAAAUUGAUGUAUUAUUCCAAUAAAAACCCGGUACAAUCCGCGUCGAGAACCUCGAUUCAUACCUCAAUCACGAACUUGCCAACUCGAUCAAAACCCCAAAACAAUGGAGAAAACCACAAAAAAAAAAAAUCCAAAUCUCAAUUUUCGAACCAAGCUUGAAACGAGUCACGCUAGGUUUGCUAUUUUUGGUGAAGUUCGAACUCGCUGAAGCUCCGAUGGAUCUCGGCAGUCAGCGAAACAAUGUUUUCCCAGUGAGAUUUUGCCAGAGAACUAGAAACGAAAGAGAAUUCGAAGAUUUUGAGGGUGCGGAUGGUCUAAUUCCGGUAAGGGAAUACCGAUUUCGGUGAGAAACUCGCCGGAAAAACCAAACCAGCCGUCCUUUUUCUCAUGUAUUCCCUCUCUCCGAUCGAUUCUCUCCCUUUCUCGAUUUGGAUUGUCUUCUCUCCGAUCUCACGCUCAGAUUUGUCUCUCACUGUGGUUGUGUGUAUGUAUAAUGGUUUUGUGUGAAGGCAGGUGUAUUAAUGGAAUAAACUCAUCAGUGAUGGUGUCUAUAUAUUCCUCUUUCCCGUAUUCUAUAUGUGUAUAUGUUGAAUUGGGAUCUUUUUCUUUAUGGUUACCGUGAUGUUCGUCAAUGGCGUAUAGGUGUGUUCGUGCUAUAUGGGUCUUCUCUAAAAAUGGAAAAAUAUGGUCAGAAUGUUACUGUGGGGACAUCUAUAUUGUUAUCUAUUGUAUUCUUAUGUAUUCGCCUCCCUAUUUCUAUGUGAAGUAUAUGUGUAUAUUGUGAAUUCCAG
Molecule: long non-coding RNA, 9162 nt
Filed under: Capsicum annuum
Lineage: Eukaryota; Viridiplantae; Streptophyta; Magnoliopsida; Solanales; Solanaceae
Description: long non-coding RNA (CANN_LNC022006)
Source: RNAcentral